RNAcentral lists this ribosomal RNA (522 nucleotides) under uncultured bacterium. Its description in RNAcentral is "bacterial SSU rRNA". It matches the Rfam family "Bacterial small subunit ribosomal RNA", at positions 501 to 1023 of the family's 1533-position model. The record is from RNAcentral.
CUACGUGCCAGCAGCCGCGGUAAUACGGAGGGUGCGAGCGUUAAUCGGAAUAACUGGGCGUAAAGGGCACGCAGGCGGUGACUUAAGUGAGGUGUGAAAGCCCCGGGCUUAACCUGGGAAUUGCAUUUCAUACUGGGUCGCUAGAGUACUUUAGGGAGGGGUAGAAUUCCACGUGUAGCGGUGAAAUGCGUAGAGAUGUGGAGGAAUACCGAAGGCGAAGGCAGCCCCUUGGGAAUGUACUGACGCUCAUGUGCGAAAGCGUGGGGAGCAAACAGGAUUAGAUACCCUGGUAGUCCACGCUGUAAACGAUGUCGAUUUGGGGGUUGAACUUUAAGUUUGGCGCCCGUAGCUAACGUGAUAAAUCGACCGCCUGGGGAGUACGGCCGCAAGGUUAAAACUCAAAUGAAUUGACGGGGGCCCGCACAAGCGGUGGAGCAUGUGGUUUAAUUCGAUGCGACGCGAAGAACCUUACCUACUCUUGACAUCCAUGGAAUUCUGUAGAGAUACGGGAGUGCUUCGGGA